Long non-coding RNA from Stylophora pistillata, 1976 nucleotides. The record is from RefSeq and is a predicted model, not a curated record. Lineage: Eukaryota; Metazoa; Cnidaria; Anthozoa; Scleractinia; Pocilloporidae.
ACAAAUCGAUGGUUUAUUUUCCUUCAGUGUCGAAUGGUGAAAAUGGAUGGUGCUGCGAUGAAUGAUAAACUGAUAAACUGAGGUGAUAAAUUAAGGUUCUGUCCUUGUGUACCAGUUCACAAGAGCCGAUACAAAAGACCGAACAAUACACAACAGCUAACCAAUGGCUCCUAAACAAAGAAAGAACAAUGGUAAUUCCCUUGUGAACCGGUACACCAGGACAGAACCUAAAUUAAAGUGAAACCUACCGAAACUAAAAAACACAACACACGAGCUCUGAACCGAAUGGGCCUGGGAAACCAAGCUGACUGAGUGGGUCCCAGGACCCACUGACCAAAAAAAGGCGGCAAAACCCGUAACAUGGAGUGUCGAAAACAGUUUAUGUGCCAUUCAUGCGAUGAAAAGGUUCACAGAACAAUGUCAAAAACACCCAAUAUUUUAUCAAUGCUCAUAAAACUUGUACAAUAGAAUGAAGGGGGCAAAUUUUGUAAAUUUUACUUUUUUUAGAGGCCUGAAUACAAGUGGCUGUUGGUUAUUGCAUUACUUAUAUUUUAAUUUGGUGUGUUUUAUUGAGUUUAUUUAUAUAAAAGAUAUAUAAAGUCGAGGUUUAAUCAUUAGGUUCUGCACUAUAGUAACUGUUAUCAUCCAUUGUCUUUAAUAAUAUGCAGUUAUAUUAUGAAAAAAAUGAUACAUUUUUGGCAGUUAUAAUUGUUUUCUUCAACAGACAAAGGAGGCAAUCAUAUUAUGAAGAUCUUUUUAUUGCCAACAAGGGGGAUGUUGAUAGUCACAUGAACAAAGUAUAUGCAAAGCAGUCCAAAUCUAAGAUCGUGAGGAGCUCAUUACUGAGCAUGCUAUUGCUUGGAAUCAAAGUAAAAUCAAUGGCAUGGCACAGAGUCUGUCAAGAGGAUACAUACGGGCCGUUGAAAUGAAAGUAGAAUCGCAAAAAAGAUUUUGAUGACGGUCUAGACAGGAAUAAUGUGUCACUGGAUGACUUUAAGCCAGAUGAGUGGAAGAGUAUUGUUGUUAAUCACGCACAUGGGGUGGAAGCCUGGCAAGGCAAGGGCAGUGGUAUACUGCGGAUUCAAGAUGAGGUUGAAAUGUUGGUUUCUGCCAUUCAACAGACCACUCAUUCAAUAAGCGGACUAGCAGACUUGUCCAAACAGCGUGCACACCUCCGCAAAAAGAUUUCUUCAAACAAGAAUAAGCUGUCAUUCAUAAUAGAUAAGUACAAUCAAGAGAAAGAAGGCAAUGAAGCUUUGCAAGCUACUGUCUCUGAAGUUAUGAAGGGGAAUUUCUCAUGGGGAAACACAACAGGUAAACUUUGUGAAUUUUAGUACUCAAUUCAACUUGUCUCUUUUGUUGAGCAUUUCAGGUUGUGGCUGUCAUUUUUGUUCUAAGUAUAAUUAUUUUCAUUCUAUCAUUGAUUAAGUAUUUUCUUGUACAUUGUACAACUUACUAAUCUUUUAUAAGAUAAGACACACUUGUGAUAGGGGGUAGCUUAGUAGCUACGGUCAUUGUGUUGGUGUCUUAAGAAAGACACUAUGCUCCAGCACUGCCCCUCUCAAGCAAAUUGUACCAGCAAACUGUUCACAACUUCUAAUGGAUUAGGCCCCUUCUGAGGUGUUGCGUUUUUUCCAACUUCUGAGCACGCAGGACAUUAAAAUCAAGAACAACAACAACAACAACAGCAACAACAACAAGCCGCUUAUUUUCUUUGCUUUUAAAACGUUAUUUUGCAAAUAGUAAAUGCUAAUCUAGGCGGGCCAUUGAUUGCUUAUGCAUAAAACUAGAUCAAUUAAAUAACAUUAAUAACAAUUAAGAUUUAGUUACAUGUAAUAUUAUUAUAAUAGUUUCUGCAUAUUAAGAUUGCUAAAACAAAAUGAGGGGAGAAUAAUGAGAGAAGACACUGAUUUUAAUUACUUAAAGUUUCCUGUUCUUGAAUAAUCUCGUGUUUAAUAAGAAAGGAAUUUUCUUUG